This 484-nucleotide ribosomal RNA is filed under the name uncultured bacterium. RNAcentral describes it as "partial 16S ribosomal RNA". It matches the Rfam family "Bacterial small subunit ribosomal RNA", at positions 30 to 507 of the family's 1533-position model. The record is from RNAcentral.
AUUGAACGCUGGCGGCAGGCCUAACACAUGCAAGUCGAGCGGAUGAAGGGAGCUUGCUCCUGGAUUCAGCGGCGGACGGGUGAGUAAUGCCUAGGAAUCUGCCUGGUAGUGGGGGAUAACGUCCGGAAACGGGCGCUAAUAUCGCACACGCCCUGAGGGAGAAAGUGGGGGAUCUUCGGACCCCACGCUAUCAGAUGAGCCUAGGUCGGAUUAGCUAGUUGGUGGGGUAAAGGCCUACCAAGGCGACGAUCCGUAACUGGUCUGAGAGGAUGAUCAGUCACACUGGAACUGAGACACGGUCCAGACUCCUACGGGAGGCAGCAGUGGGGAAUAUUGGACAAUGGGCGAAAGCCUGAUCCAGCCAUGCCGCGUGUGUGAAGAAGGUCUUCGGAUUGUAAAGCACUUUAAGUUGGGAGGAAGGGCAGUAAGUUAAUCCCUUGCUGUUUUGACGUUACCAACAGAAUAAGCACCGGCUAACUUCGUG